RNAcentral lists this unclassified non-coding RNA (372 nucleotides) under uncultured bacterium. RNAcentral describes it as "contains 16S-23S intergenic spacer region". The record is from RNAcentral.
UCCGGUUUGUCACCGGCAGUCUCAUUAGAGUGCCCAACUAAAUGUAGCAACUAAUGACAAGGGUUGCGCUCGUUGCGGGACUUAACCCAACAUCUCACGACACGAGCUGACGACAGCCAUGCAGCACCUGUCUCUGGGCUCCUUGCGGCACCCCCAUAUCUCUACAGGGUUCCCAGGAUGUCAAGACCAGGUAAGGUUCUUCGCGUUGCAUCGAAUUAAACCACAUACUCCACCGCUUGUGCGGGCCCCCGUCAAUUCCUUUGAGUUUCACCGUUGCCGGCGUACUCCCCAGGUGGAUUACUUAGCGCUUUCGCUUGGCCGCGUACUGUAUAUCGCACACAGCGAGUAAUCAACGUUUACAGUGUGGACUAC